GCAUGAGAAAUAUCAGUGUAAAGGAGGUGGGGACCAAAGAGUGAAAAUAAAAACUUAAAACAAAUGAUUGGGAAGAGAUUAAAAAAGUUGAAAGAAAAAAAGUCAAAAAGAAGGAUUGAACAUAAGCUUCACUCCCACACAGAGAAGUCAACAGUCCAACUAAUAUGGGGGUCCCCAAACUUUUUACACAGGGGGCUAAUUCACUGUCUCUGAGACCAUUGGAGGGCUGGACUAUAAAAACCUAACCCUAAACCUAACUCUAACCCUAAUAUCACUAGAAAGAACAAUUAGUAAAAAUUCUUAUGAGACUAAAACAAACAAAUUGCCAUUGCACUUGGUGAAUAACUGUCAAUAAUCAUUUAUUUAGCACCUACUUUAUACCAGAGACUGUACUUUAAAGGAAAAUAAGCUACAAGGGAAAAAGGAAACAUGGUCACCAAUUAUUCAUUUUUUCUAGAGAUCAAAGAACAACAACAACAAAUUACAAAAUGCUUCCAAAAAGGGCAGUAGAAAGGAAUGCUAAACCAAGAUAUAAGUGCUUUACAGAGCCUGCUUCUGCCACCUUCAUGGCCACUGGAACAAAUUGUUCUCAUCCAUCUAUUCUGCAGCAGGAAGACUUCACAUGACAACUUCUUGGAGCCACAGAAUCACCAAAGUCCAUGGCAAGACAAAAGUCAAGAUGAUUGGUUCAGUGUUUGA
Molecule: long non-coding RNA, 699 nt
Filed under: Monodelphis domestica (gray short-tailed opossum)
Lineage: Eukaryota; Metazoa; Chordata; Mammalia; Didelphimorphia; Didelphidae
Description: lncRNA (ENSMODG00000033394.2)
Source: RNAcentral